GUCUACCUACGGGGCGAAGCAGUGGGGAAUAUUGCACAAUGGGCGAAAGCCUGAUGCAGCAACGCCGCGUGAAGGAAGACGGUUUUCGGAUUGUAAACUUCUAUCAAUAGGGAAGAAAGAAAUGACGGUACCUAAAUAAGAAGCCCCGGCUAACUACGUGCCAGCAGCCGCGGUAAUACGUAGGGGGCAAGCGUUAUCCGGAAUUACUGGGCGUAAAGGGAGAGUAGGCAGCAAGGUAAGCGAUAUGUGAAAGCCUUAAGCUUAACUAAAGGAUUGCAUAACGAACUAUCUAGCUAGAGUACAGG
This 305-nucleotide ribosomal RNA is filed under the name uncultured bacterium. RNAcentral's name for it is "bacterial SSU rRNA". It matches the Rfam family "Bacterial small subunit ribosomal RNA", at positions 333 to 652 of the family's 1533-position model. The record is from RNAcentral.